This 856-nucleotide ribosomal RNA is filed under the name uncultured bacterium. RNAcentral's name for it is "bacterial SSU rRNA". It matches the Rfam family "Bacterial small subunit ribosomal RNA", at positions 64 to 915 of the family's 1533-position model. The record is from RNAcentral.
GAAACGACAUCGAAAGCUUGCUUUUGAUGGGCGUCGACCGGCGCACGGGUGAGUAACGCGUAUCCAACCUGCCCACCACUUGGGGAUAACCUUGCGAAAGUAAGACUAAUACCCAAUGACGUCUCUAGAAGACAUCUGAAGGAGAUUAAAGAUUUAUCGGUGAUGGAUGGGGAUGCGUCUGAUUAGCUUGUUGGCGGGGUAACGGCCCACCAAGGCUACGAUCAGUAGGGGUUCUGAGAGGAAGGUCCCCCACAUUGGAACUGAGACACGGUCCAAACUCCUACGGGAGGCAGCAGUGAGGAAUAUUGGUCAAUGGGCGAGAGCCUGAACCAGCCAAGUAGCGUGCAGGAUGACGGCCCUAUGGGUUGUAAACUGCUUUUAUAAGGGAAUAAAGUGAGCCUCGUGAGGCUUUUUGCAUGUACCUUAUGAAUAAGGACCGGCUAAUUCCGUGCCAGCAGCCGCGGUAAUACGGAAGGUCCGGGCGUUAUCCGGAUUUAUUGGGUUUAAAGGGAGCGUAGGCCGGAGAUUAAGCGUGUUGUGAAAUGUAGACGCUCAACGUCUGCACUGCAGCGCGAACUGGUUUCCUUGAGUACGCACAAAGUGGGCGGAAUUCGUGGUGUAGCGGUGAAAUGCUUAGAUAUCACGAAGAACUCCGAUUGCGAAGGCAGCUCACUGGAGCGCAACUGACGCUGAAGCUCGAAAGUGCGGGUAUCGAACAGGAUUAGAUACCCUGGUAGUCCGCACGGUAAACGAUGGAUGCCCGCUGUUGGUCUGAAUAGGUCAGCGGCCAAGCGAAAGCAUUAAGCAUCCCACCUGGGGAGUACGCCGGCAACGGUGAAACUCAAAGGAAUUGACG